CUUGGCUGCAGGAGUCAUUGGCUGUGCCAGCACAGCAGCGCUCAAGGGCUGUGGGAACGUUCAGGGUGGCUUGUACCAGUUGGUUCUUUGAAGUUCAGUAAAUUCUUGCGUUGGUGCAAGCUGGCCACAGCGGUGUGUGCAGCGCUGUGCCCUGCAGUGGCACCUGUGUGAGGAGUCACGGGCAGCUGCAGUGCCAGAGCUGGGCUGGCUGGGGGCACCUCUGGAGGGGCCUUCUGUCCCCACAUGUGCUCUGGCUCCGCACAUCCGAGAGCAAAAGCUGAGAAACACCACACUUGUUUCUUUCUGAAACCUACCAGAGCAAUACCCGUUUAUUUCCCCUGGUGAGAUGCAGCUUCUCACUUCCAGGUCCUGGCAGCUGACAGCUGUGCCGGCCUGGCUGUGACCCCGCGCACAGCCGCGGAUGGCCGCGUUCUUCAGGGAGCUGAGCUUGUCAGGUGACGGCAUUAACCACCUGCGACACACUUCUAUCUCAGUUUUUUUUUUCUUUUCUUCUGUGAAGCCUUCUCAAGGCUGGCUGCAGGACUGCGCUCCAGUAAGGCAUCAGGAGAGGCACACGGCUUGCUUCCCAAGGCGAGAGGUCCCUGCUGUCCUGCCCGGCCUUUCACAGCUGCUGGAGCCGCACAAAGAGCUGCAGCCACGUCCCCGGCGCCGCGUCCCGCCCCUCUGCACCCGCAGCACAGCCGGGCAGCCGCUGUGGCGACAGCGACGGGCGACAGGAGCCACGCGUUCUGCAGCAGCCUCGCGGGGAGGGAGCAGCCCCGGCGCUGCGGCGGCAGCCCGGGACGGGGGGCGGCACGGCGCGAGAGCCCGAGCGAAGGGAAACCGGUCCGAGAAAGCCGAUCCUGGGCUGCGGGGAUGGUCCGGAACCGGGAGGGGAACGAGAACGGGAAUGGGAACGGGACCGGGACCGGGACCGGGAACGGGAACGGGAAUGGGAACGGGACCGGGACCGGGAACGAGAACGGGAAUGGGAACGGGACCGGGAACGAGAACGGGAACGGGAAUGGGAACGGGACCGGGACCGGGACCGGGAACGAGAACGGGAAUGGGAACGGGACCGGGACCGGGACCGGGACCGGGACCGGGAACGAGAACGGGAAUGGGAACGGGAAUGGGAACGGGACCGGGAACGGGACCGGGCGGGGGUGGUGCGGGGCAGCUCCGCCCUGCCCCACAGCGCCGCCUCGCGGCCGCCGCCGACCCUGCAGGUCCCGCUGCGCCACGGCUGGACCCGC
This 1256-nucleotide long non-coding RNA is filed under the name Chloebia gouldiae (Gouldian finch). RNAcentral's name for it is "Erythrura gouldiae (Gouldian finch) lncRNA (ENSEGOG00005011302.1)". The record is from RNAcentral. Lineage: Eukaryota; Metazoa; Chordata; Aves; Passeriformes; Passeridae.